Molecule: long non-coding RNA, 437 nt
Filed under: Homo sapiens (human)
Lineage: Eukaryota; Metazoa; Chordata; Mammalia; Primates; Hominidae
Description: HSALNT0221533
Source: RNAcentral
UAAAACUCUUCAAUGGUUCCUGGCUGUUUUCAAAAUAAAAAUUAAACUUCUGAAGGCUUGCAGUGUCUGGCCCGUUUCCUCUCCUCCCAUCUUACUCCAGUCAUGCUAGCCUUCAACUGCCAUGGUCUCUCAGUCCCCACAGAACCUUUGCAUAUCCUGUUCUGGAUACUUGCUAAGUUCUUCCCUGUUGCUUCCCCACAAUUAAUUAAAAGCUGCUCAAAUGCCAGGCACAAUGGCUCACUUUAUUAAAACCUUGCAAGGGCCAAAGGAAAAAGGGAUUUUUUUUUUCUCCAUCUGUGGCUAAAUGCCACCUUCUUGGGUUCUGCUGUCCGAGUUUUCCUGAGUCCCUGCAGCACAUUCCCUGCCCUCACAGCAGAUAUCUUAGUGGCAAGGCUGUCCAGACACCAAACACACAUCGUACAAUUCACCUUAUUUCU